AUUGAACGCUGGCGGCAGGCCUAACACAUGCAAGUCGAGCGGAUGAAGGGAGCUUGCUCCUGGAUUCAGCGGCGGACGGGUGAGUAAUGCCUAGGAAUCUGCCUGGUAGUGGGGGAUAACGUCCGGAAACGGGCGCUAAUACCGCAUACGUCCUGAGGGAGAAAGUGGGGGAUCUUCGGACCUCACGCUAUCAGAUGAGCCUAGGUCGGACUAGCUAGUUGGUGGGGUAAAGGCCUACCAAGGCGACGAUCCGUAACUGGUCUGAGAGGAUGAUCAGUCACACUGGAACUGAGACACGGUCCAGACUCCUACGGGAGGCAGCAGUCGGGAAUAUUGGACAAUGGGCGAAAGCCUGAUCCAGCCAUGCCGCGUGUGUGAAGAAGGUCUUCGGAUUGUAAAGCACUUUAAGUUGGGAGGAAGGGCAGUAAGUUAAUACCUUGCUGUUUUGACGGUACCAACAGAAUAAGCACCGGCUAACUUCGUG
RNAcentral lists this ribosomal RNA (484 nucleotides) under uncultured bacterium. RNAcentral describes it as "partial 16S ribosomal RNA". It matches the Rfam family "Bacterial small subunit ribosomal RNA", at positions 30 to 507 of the family's 1533-position model. The record is from RNAcentral.